RNAcentral lists this ribosomal RNA (500 nucleotides) under Saccharomyces cerevisiae (brewer's yeast). RNAcentral's name for it is "LSU rRNA". It matches the Rfam family "Eukaryotic large subunit ribosomal RNA", at positions 62 to 564 of the family's 3401-position model. Lineage: Eukaryota; Fungi; Ascomycota; Saccharomycetes; Saccharomycetales; Saccharomycetaceae. The record is from RNAcentral.
AAACCAACCGGGAUUGCCUUAGUAACGGCGAGUGAAGCGGCAAAAGCUCAAAUUUGAAAUCUGGUACCUUCGGUGCCCGAGUUGUAAUUUGGAGAGGGCAACUUUGGGGCCGUUCCUUGUCUAUGUUCCUUGGAACAGGACGUCAUAGAGGGUGAGAAUCCCGUGUGGCGAGGAGUGCGGUUCUUUGUAAAGUGCCUUCGAAGAGUCGAGUUGUUUGGGAAUGCAGCUCUAAGUGGGUGGUAAAUUCCAUCUAAAGCUAAAUAUUGGCGAGAGACCGAUAGCGAACAAGUACAGUGAUGGAAAGAUGAAAAGAACUUUGAAAAGAGAGUGAAAAAGUACGUGAAAUUGUUGAAAGGGAAGGGCAUUUGAUCAGACAUGGUGUUUUGUGCCCUCUGCUCCUUGUGGGUAGGGGAAUCUCGCAUUUCACUGGGCCAGCAUCAGUUUUGGUGGCAGGAUAAAUCCAUAGGAAUGUAGCUUGCCUCGGUAAGUAUUAUAGCCUG